Molecule: long non-coding RNA, 906 nt
Filed under: Marmota monax (woodchuck)
Lineage: Eukaryota; Metazoa; Chordata; Mammalia; Rodentia; Sciuridae
Source: RNAcentral
CUAAUCCAAUAUGUCUGGUGCCAUUGUAGGAGGAAGUCAGAACAGAUGCACAGGGAGGCCUUCACGUGAGCCCAUCGAGACUGCAAGCAGGAGAGCUGAUUCCAGCCAACCUCGAUGACACCUUGAUCUCAGCUCUGAAGGCUGGAGGAGAUAAAUGUCUAUUGUGUAAGCUCCCCUAGUCUGUGAGGUUGUAAGGGCAGCCCCGAAACACACAUGCUGUGUGCUGGGCACAUCCUCAUACAAUAUCAGUCUUUUUAUUUUCCUGUGGUACUCGCUAAGGCACUGGGGCUGGCUUUGAACCUGAGCUCCUCCUGCCUCAGCCUCCCUAGCCUUUGGGAUCACAGGCAUGUGCCACUGCAACUGGGUACAUUGCCAUUCUUAAUUUUCUCACUGACCUGAUAAUGAGGUUGAUCUUUCUUUCUUGGUGGAAAGACAGAACAUUUGAGCAGCUAGAAUGAUCAUCCAAACUCAUGCAGUGAAUAAGUGGAUUAAAAUUCCAGAGACUCUAGGCUGUAUCCCUGUGCAUCCUCUAAGGACAGAAUCCCGAUUUGGCCUUCAUAAAAGACGUGAAAUGCAAUAGAAACCUUUGGACGGGAGAAACCAGUCGCAGAAACAGAUCUCGCCCAUUAGGACCCCAGAAUGACUGUGUUGGGUUGUGGGAGCCUCGGGUAAGCUCCUUCCUCUCUCUGGGUCCUCUAUUUUUAUUAUCGGGAAAUGGGCACCUUGGACCCAUGGAAAAUACUCAAGGCUCUUGCCCAAAGCGUCAAGGUCAGAUUCAAGGCUCAGGGGGCUUCAAACUUCCGUCUCUCCUUCUUCUACAAGAUUCUUUGCUGGUGAGCACCCAACUCUUUUUUUUUUUUUUUGAUUGCUUUUAUUUUUUUUAACUACAUGACAGCAGAAUGCAUC